GGCGGGGGCCGAGCGCGGGGCACCCGGAGGCCUCCUGCAUAGGCGGGCACCAUGGGCUCCUGCUCCGGCCGCUGCGCGCUCAUCGUCCUCUGCACGUUUCAGCUGGUCACCGCCCUGGAGAGGCAGGUGUUUGACUUCCUGGGCUACCAGUGGGUGCCCAUCCUGGCCAACUUCGCCCACAUCGUCGUCAUCAUCCUGGGACUCUUUGGCACCAUCCAGUACCGGCCGCGCUAUGUGGUGGUGUACACGGUGUGGGCAGCCAUCUGGGUCACCUGGAACAUCUUCAUCAUCUGCUUCUACCUGGAAGUUGGGGGCCUCUCACAGGACAGCGAGCUACUGACUUUCAGCCUCUCCCAGCAUCGCUCCUGGUGGCAUGAGCACUGGCCGGGCUGUCUGCACGAGGAGGUGCCGGCAGCUGGCCUCGGGGCCCCCCAUGGCCAGGCCCUGGUGUCAGGUGCCAUCUGUGCCCUGGAGCCCAGCUCUGUGGAGGCCCUACACAGCGGCCUGCAGAUCCUGAUUGCGAUGGUGCCAGUGCCUUCCUCGAAGUGCUCAGAAGGAGGAGGCAAAAGCUGAGACGGGCGUGUGGAGGAUGCUUGGUCAGCGUUUCACCUCAGGAGCUCCUGGGGCAGGGCCGAUGUGACUGCAGCAUGAUUGGUGCCAUCGCCGGAGGAACUUGUGACUGAUCUCAGGGCUCCCUGACUUUCCCUGGUGCACACGCUGGCGUCAAUGCAGCACACCAGGUGGACAUGGGGCCUCUAGGAGCGAGGAUCUGUGGCCAGCAGCUGGCGGUGGAAGCUGAAUUCCAAAUCAAAGGGGCCCAUGGCCUGAGAACACGUGACAGUAUGGGUGGCCUCGUGAGCUCCCUGGGCUCUGCUCUGGUCCUGCAGGAACUCAGGCCAGGGAGGUGCUGCCCCGUAGCAAGGGGCUACAGACACACCCUGCCAGCGCUAGUCAGGGCCUGUUUCUCCCACCACAGCCACUCAGCGAGGCACAGGGGGGCCCCAGUUGCCCCCAAAAUGUGUGGAAGCCAGGUGCAUGUGACUGGAGGAGAAAGAGCCAAUGUCCCAAGUGUGCACAUCAAAGCUCCUGAGAUUAGGCUUUGUGAGAAGGCAACAAAAAGGAAGCUAGAGGGGAACAAAUGAAGAUUCUCUCGGAGGGGGUGGCGUGCUGUGGAAGCCGAGGCUGGAGGAGUGAGUGCUACGCGUGGUUGGGGAGAUGGGGCCUGCUGUUGGCUUUUGUCCUGACUCCCAGGGAUGGGAAUUUCUUUAAUAGGAUGUGGAUCUAAAUUCCAGCAAGCUAGUCCUCACUAGGAGCACAGCCCCCCUGCUCUUUGCUUUGGAGGGUCUGGGAGAGGCUGGUGGCUUGGCUGACCCCUGCCCAGCUGUGCUGAUGGUAGCAAUAGACAGUCGUCCGACAAGGCCAGGCUCUGGGCUUGAGGCGCAGGGCAGGGUCUGCAGAUCCCAGGCCUCCAUGCAGCAGGGAGAGGGGUGAGCUUUGGGGUGGACCUGGGGCUGGAGCCAGGAGGAUGGGCAGGAGGCGGUGGUGUGAAGGGCGGGGAGCACGAGGGUGUGGGACAGAGGCGGCCUGCAGGUCCCCGGGAGCGGGGAGCACUGGCUGGAAGGGGCGUCUUCCAAUGGCUCCCCAAGUUCGGCUGCCUGUUCAGCACCACGGCCAGCUCCGUGGUGGGGGCGUCUUGGGCUCCUUUGGAGUAGGAGGGGACGAGCCAUGGAGGUUGCCCACCUUCACCCCUGCUCCCACCCUGGCCAUGGCAUGGAACCAGAAAUGGCCAUUUGGGACAACUUCUUGAGUUUGUCUCAAUAUCAAGGAGACAGGUCUGCCUGCCUCGUGGUAAGAGAGGUCUCCUGGCCCCUGACUGACCCCUGGAAAGCAGCUGCCAGCUCGCCUGUACCACAUGGGGUGGGGGUCGGGGGGACGGAGCCCAAGCAUGUCCAGCCCUGGGGCCUGACCUGCAUGUCCUGUCUCCUCUCCUGGGACCGGGGCCUUCUCGGGGGGCUGUUGGGCCAGGUCUAUGGAGGAAGAAACCAAGACCAGAAGGUGAAGUGAAUUUUCGAGGUCACGCGGCUGCUCAGCGGUCGGCCUGAGGUGCAGCCAGAAAGGUGUCCUGCUUCGUUCCGGGGCACCUCCAGUCACAAACCCACUGCGGCCGGCUGCCCCCAACCCCUCCCUCAGUGUCUGUGCCCUGGAGUGACCCUGGCCGGGCCCUCUCGCUCAUGCCGUUGGUGUUUCUGGCUGUGGCAACGCUGCCCCCCUUUGCCAGAGCCCUUUUUCCCUCAGUGGCCCUGGAUGCAGGUGUCUGCGAGGUGUGUGGGGCUUUGCAGUGGCCUGUCUUCUGCCCUGGACUCCCAGUCCCUCUCCUCUCGCUGCUUGACCCCUGCCCCACAGGCAGCAGCCAGCCCCCAGCUCUGCCUGGAGUUGCCUGCUGGACCCCGAGUCCUCAGCCUGUCUCUCCUGCACUUUGCUGAGCUCAAAACCAGAAUCCCAGACGGCUCGCUCCACAGAGGAGGAGGAACUCCUGGUGGCUGUUGGCUGGGCUUCUAGGUUUUGUCUGUGGCUGCUACGUGGUCAGUGUGUUUACGGAGGAAGAGGACAGCUCCCCCAUCAGCUUUCCCGUGAUUUGCA
RNA transcript from Cercocebus atys (sooty mangabey), 2640 nucleotides. It is a transcript of the gene named Na+/K+ transporting ATPase interacting 4, with no coding region annotated. The transcript has 7 exons. The record is from RefSeq and is a predicted model, not a curated record. Lineage: Eukaryota; Metazoa; Chordata; Mammalia; Primates; Cercopithecidae.